GACGAACGCUGGCGGCGUGCUUAACACAUGCAAGUCGAACGAUGAAGCGGUGCUUGCACCGUGGAUUAGUGGCGAACGGGUGAGUAAUACGUGAGUGACCUACCUUUGACUCUGGGAUAAGCCUGGGAAACUGGGUCUAAUACCGGAUACGACCAAUCUCUGCAUGGGGUGUUGGUGGAAAGCGUUAUGGAGUGGUUUUAGAUGGGCUCACGGCCUAUCAGCUCGUUGGUGAGGUAAUGGCUUACCAAGGCGACGACGGGUAGCCGGCCUGAGAGGGUGACCGGCCACACUGGGACUGAGACACGGCCCAGACUCCUACGGGAGGCAGCAGUGGGGAAUAUUGCACAAUGGGCGCAAGCCUGAUGCAGCGACGCCGCGUGAGGGAUGACGGCCUUCGGGUUGUAAACCUCUGUUAGCAUCGAAGAAGCGAAAGUGACGGUAGGUGCAGAGAAAGCGCCGGCUAACUACGUGC
RNAcentral lists this ribosomal RNA (472 nucleotides) under uncultured Rothia sp. Its description in RNAcentral is "bacterial SSU rRNA". It matches the Rfam family "Bacterial small subunit ribosomal RNA", at positions 28 to 508 of the family's 1533-position model. Lineage: Bacteria; Bacillati; Actinomycetota; Actinomycetes; Micrococcales; Micrococcaceae. The record is from RNAcentral.